This 459-nucleotide ribosomal RNA is filed under the name Capnocytophaga granulosa. Its description in RNAcentral is "bacterial SSU rRNA". It matches the Rfam family "Bacterial small subunit ribosomal RNA", at positions 28 to 491 of the family's 1533-position model. Lineage: Bacteria; Pseudomonadati; Bacteroidota; Flavobacteriia; Flavobacteriales; Flavobacteriaceae. The record is from RNAcentral.
GAUGAACGCUAGCGGCAGGCCUAACACAUGCAAGUCGAGGGAGAAGCCCUUCGGGGCGGAAACCGGCGCACGGGUGCGUAACGCGUAUGCAACCUACCUUUCACAGGGGGAUAGCCCGAAGAAAUUUGGAUUAAUACCCCAUAAUAUUAUUGGAUGGCAUCAUUUGAUAAUUAAAAUUACGAUGGUGAAAGAUGGGCAUGCGUCCUAUUAGCUAGUUGGAGUGGUAACGGCACCCCAAGGCUACGAUAGGUAGGGGUCCUGAGAGGGAGAUCCCCCACACUGGUACUGAGACAGGGACCAGACUCCUACGGGAGGCAGCAGUGAGGAAUAUUGGUCAAUGGUCGGAAGACUGAACCAGCCAUGCCGCGUGCAGGAAGAAUGCCUUAUGGGUUGUAAACUGCUUUUAUAUGGGAAGAAUAAGGAGUACGCGUACUUUGAUGACGUACCAUAUGAAUAAGC